Molecule: long non-coding RNA, 3627 nt
Filed under: Stegodyphus dumicola
Lineage: Eukaryota; Metazoa; Arthropoda; Arachnida; Araneae; Eresidae
Description: uncharacterized LOC118204489, transcript variant X2
Source: RNAcentral
ACAGAAAAUGAUAUCUAGACUAGAUACAGUGUUUAUUUUCGCAGUUACUUGGAGACUACGUAACAGUGAAUUUACAAGCAUAAUUCUACUAGCAACAAAUUAAAUCUGGAGAUUUAGACAUCUUUUUAAAAGCACUCUGGAUUACUUUCAUCUAUAAAGCUGCAGAAUUUUUGAGAAAAAAAGUCUUACUGUGCAGCAGACUAAAUUUUAGAAUUCACUUGGCUUGCAUCAUACUGGGAAUGAAUUAAUGAAAAGCCAAAAGAUGGUGUCCGGGAUUCUAAUACAUGUAUUUUGUCCAAAGCAGUUUCCUGAUGAGAAGAAUCUGAAAAAAAGCUCAUGCAUUGCUUCCAAAGGAAAAAAAUUAUUCUUGCAUGUUAGAACAGUAGAAGUUAUUACUCGUAAUUAAUUAGCUGGAAGGCAAAUCUGGCCAUUCGUAUGAAAAAUUAGUUUGGAUCAUCACUCUGUUCCUGCUAGUGAACAAUACAGUUAUCUUGCAAAAUUGCCGUGUACAAAGAACAGUUUUUCAUUGACAAAGAAUAAUAUUACAGUAUUUUCGAAAGAUGCUGAAUUUCAUAAAGUAGAAAACCGAUGUAAAAUCUGCAACAAGAAAUUUUCAACUCCCGGGAGUCUUAGAAGACAUAUGGAACUUCACUUCUAUCAGAGAAAGAACUUUCAUUGCCAACUGUGUGGUAAAAGAUUUUCGUGGAAAACUGAUCUACGUAAUCAUCUUAAAAGAACUCAUGGUUCAUAAGCAUUAUAAUGAUAAUUUUUCAUUUUCAGAUUAAUUUCUCUUCAGCAAUGAGCUUUCAGACUAUCAUCUUAAAUCAGAUAUAAUAGCAAUGAACAUAUGAAUUUUUUAAUGAAGUCUUUUAAAUAGACUCUAUAUGUUGAAUUUUUUAUAUAUAUUAAAAAUGAAAGAAAUUUAACUAUAUAGUUAUUUAUAUUCUUAAUUUUCUCUCUCUCUCUCUCUUUUUUUUUUUUUUUUUUUUUUUUUUUUUGUAUGGACAUGCAGAUUUUGAUGGUUUCUUGAAAGCAUACAUUCUGAAGUGAAUAAUCAUAUGUGUGUUGCAAUAACAUAAUCAACCAACUAAUACUUCUGUACUGUAAAUAUCUUUUAAUUGUUUGAGCAGAAAAAUACAGGUUUAGAUAAUCUGGAAAAAAAUAUUAAUUUAUAUUGCUUCUUAUGUUUAUAAAUAUUUUUAAAUGAUUAAAGUAAUUAAUUUAUACAUGUGUUUGUAUUUUUUUUUUUUUUUUUUAAAUUUUUGUCUCUACAUAUUCAUGGUAUUUGAAAUUUUACUGAGUUCUGAUUUAUUAAAUUUUCAAGUAUUUCAUAUAUCUUUCUGUAUAACUCUAUUAUUAAAUAAUAGAGGAGCUGUAUGUCCCUUGCACUAAACAAUGAGACCUCCAUCCAAACAUAUGCACCUUAAAGCUCAAAUUUUGAAUUUCAAAUUUUUUUUUCAUUUAUUUCAUAUUUUAUGCGAAUAUAAUGAGGUUUUGGACAAAAUGAGCAGUUUAAAAGCUAGCAGUGGCAACAUUGUUUGAAAUGAAACAUUUUUACCUCAGUGCAUCAGACUGUUGCGGUUUGGCAAAUAUAAGAUUUUUAUUUUUCAGUUUUAAUCAACAAAUUUGGCUAUUUAAAAGUAUUAUGUUGCUGCUGUCUGAAAUAAAAUACUUUUAUCUUCCAUGUAAAAGUGUGUCCAUCAGUAUGUUACUAUUCAGUAAAGUAUAAGUUAAAACUUUCAAAUUUAUGUGUCUGUAAUUGUCAGUUUUAAUCUAACAACCCAGGCGAUUUAAAAGCAAUAAACACAGUUCUUAAGACUAUUAUUUUCUUUUCAAUCUGAUUAAUUUAUAUAAAAAUGUAUUUAAAUAAGAUCUCUAGUUAGAAAUACUAAAUAUUUUUAUGAAAUUGCUCUAGCUGAACUAACUAAAAUAAUUAAUAUUUUUAAAAUUUUUAUGAUAGGCAGCAGGCCAUGCAAGCAGCUAUUAAAUUCAUAAAUUGUGCAUUUACAGAUACAAUAAUUUUGGUCAUUUUGUUCUGAUUAGAAGGCACAAAAAGUAUCUUAUGUAAUUAAAACACAUAAAGUUUCAUAAUGAUUUUUUUCUAAAUAUUACACCUUUAUAGUACAACUAUACUUAAACAUCAGCAGCUUUUUUUUUUUUUUUAUGGUAUGGAUAAAUUAUUUUGGUUUGUUAAAAAUCUUUUUGAUGAUUUAAAUUCAGUGACUAAGUUUUAUGGAAACAUAUAUGCAGCAUACUGCAUGCGUAGAUGCAGCUAAUAUGCAGCAGCGUCAUUACUAACUAAAUUUUGAAUGGUGAAAGAGUAACCAGAGUUUCCGUUUUAUAGAUCUCAUAAUGAAAGCAUAUUCACUUACUGCAAAGUAUCAGACUGAAGACAGAAAAGGGAAGACAUAUCAUUCUUUUUGCAGAAAGAGAAAAAUCUUUCUUUCUUCAUAUGGCUAGUAAAAUAUGUAAUAGUUAAUUUAUUUUAAGUGUAGAAAAGUUUGCGUAGAAUAUUGUUUAUUGUGAUCAUGAUUAAAGUUAACAAUUGGAUAUUAUCAUCAGUUUGUUGAAGUGCUACUCGUUUGUAUUCAGAAACAUUGAAAAUUCAUUAUUUUUUAUAAUCAGCAAGUUCUUUAAUAUAUUAAAAACAGUGCAGUAUGAGUUGUUUCUUUCAAAUCAAAAUGAUAUGCUUUUAAUGUUUUUAUCAUUUUAUGGUGAUUUUGGUGUAUGUGUUUAAUCAUUUAAGGAAUUCAAACACUUUACAACUUUCUAAGUUUUUUUUUUUUUUUUUUUAAUCUGAGGCAUGUAAAAGUGUAAUUAUCUGAAUAGGUAAAAAUGCUAUAAACUAUUGCAUAGAUAUCAUCAAUAGUUUUAAUGAAUGAAUAUUGAAAUAGAGUAAUGGAAUGAGUAAUGUUUUUCAUUCUUUGUUUGAGUUAUAUGAUGCAUUGCAUAAGUUUAAAAUUUAAAUUUUAUUCCUUUCUGUUGAAAUUUUAUUCCUUCUAACAACUCACACACCUAUAACUCAAAUGUAUGGUGAAAGAUUCAUGAGAGCAAUGAAAGGCUAUCUUGGUGAAAUGAUCAGUGACCAUUUGCAGUGUGGAAGAUAUUGACAUAAGUGCAAUAGGUUGACAAAGAAAUCUUCAUAAUGCUUCAUAAGGAAAUCUAUAUAUGAACAUAGUAGCCAUAGUUCUUUGUAUAGUAUAUCAACUAUAGAUGAUAUUUUGUGAAGCAUCUAGCAGUAUAUUUUACUGAAAAACAGAGAUGCAAAGGACCUACAAAUAAAUUUUUUCCCCAUCAAAAUAAAAAAUAUGUGAGAAAGGGCAUGAUGAUAAAAAAUAUAUAAAAAAGAUUUGAGGUAGUAAGAUAAAUUUCCAAUGAAAAAAAAAAAAAAAAAAAAGGAAAGAUGCUUAUUCAAAAAGACAAAAACAAUUCAUAUAUGCAUCAUUUUGUGUAUAAGGGAUGCAAGCACUGCUGUUUAUGUGAAAUAUUCGUAUGGCUAUAGCAUGCCUUAAAUUGUGCAUUUAUGAUUUAAAGCUUAAGGAAUUUUUAAGUAAACUUUUUUGUUUUAGAAAUAUGCAAAUUUAAGAAAUAUAAAAUAUGUUUCUAAUUAAAUAUUUUCAGUUGUUU